RNAcentral lists this ribosomal RNA (515 nucleotides) under Pyrenophora tritici-repentis. RNAcentral describes it as "eukaryotic LSU rRNA". The stretch from base 173 to 326 matches the Rfam family "5.8S ribosomal RNA". Lineage: Eukaryota; Fungi; Ascomycota; Dothideomycetes; Pleosporales; Pleosporaceae. The record is from RNAcentral.
UAUGAAGCCGGACUGGGAUAGGGCCUCGCUGCCUUGCCCGUCUGGCGCCAUAUUCACCCAUGUCUUUUUGCGUACUACUUGUUUCCUUGGCGGGUCCGCCCGCCAAUUGGACCUUAUUCAAACCUUUUUUUCAGUUGCAAUCAGCGUCAGCAAAACAAAUGUAAUCAAUUACAACUUUCAACAACGGAUCUCUUGGUUCUGGCAUCGAUGAAGAACGCAGCGAAAUGCGAUAAGUAGUGUGAAUUGCAGAAUUCAGUGAAUCAUCGAAUCUUUGAACGCACAUUGCGCCCUUUGGUAUUCCAAAGGGCAUGCCUGUUCGAGCGUCAUUUGUACCCUCAAGCUUUGCUUGGUGUUGGGCGUCUUGUCUCUCUCCCGAGACUCGCCUUAAAAUCAUUGGCAGCCGGCCUACUGGUUUCGGAGCGCAGCACAUUAUUUGCGCUCUUGUCCAGCCGCGGUCGCGCGUCCAUGAAGCUUNUUUCAACCUUUUGACCUCGGAUCAGGUAGGGAUACGCGCU